GGGUUGUGAGGUUAAGCGACUAAGCGUACACGGUGGAUGCCCUGGCAGUCAGAGGCGAUGAAGGACGUGCUAAUCUGCGAAAAGCGUCGGUAAGGUGAUAUGAACCGUUACAGCCGGCGAUGUCCGAAUGGGGAAACCCAGUGCAAUUCGUUGCACUAUCGUUAACUGAAUACAUAGGUUAACGAGGCGAACCGGGGGAACUGAAACAUCUAAGUACCCCGAGGAAAAAAAAUCAACCGAGAUUCCCCCAGUAGCGGCGAGCGAACGGGGAGCAGCCCAGAGUCUGAAUCAGCUUGUGUGUUAGUGGAACGGUCUGGAAAGUCCGACGGUACAGGGUGAUAGUCCCGUACACCAAAAUGCACAGGCUGUGAACUCGAAGAGUAGGGCGGGACACGUGGUAUCCUGUCUGAAUAUGGGGGGACCAUCCUCCAAGGCUAAAUACUCCUGACUGACCGAUAGUGAACCAGUACCGUGAGGGAAAGGCGAAAAGAACCCCGGCGAGGGGAGUGAAAAAGAACCUGAAACCGUGUACGUACAAGCAGUGGGAGCACCUUCGGGUGUGACUGCGUACCUUUUGUAUAAUGGGUCAGCGACUUAUAUUCUGUAGCAAGGUUAACCGUAUAGGGGAGCCGCAGGGAAACCGAGUCUUAACUGGGCGUUAAGUUGCAGGGUAUAGACCCGAAACCCGGUGAUCUCGCCAUGGGCAGGUUGAAGGUUGGGUAACACUAACUGGAGGACCGAACCGACUAAUGUUGAAAAAUUAGCGGAUGACUUGUGGCUGGGGGUGAAAGGCCAAUCAAACCGGGAGAUAGCUGGUUCUCCCCGAAAGCUAUUUAGGUAGCGCCUCGUGAAUUCAUCUUCGGGGGUAGAGCACUGUUUCGGCUAGGGGUCAUCCCGACUUACCAACCCGAUGCAAACUACGAAUACCGAAGAAUGUUAUCACGGGAGACACACGGCGGGUGCUAACGUCCGUCGUGAAGAGGGAAACAACCCAGACCGCCAGCUAAGGUCCCAAAGUCAUGGUUAAGUGGGAAACGAUGUGGGAAGGCACAGACAGCCGGGAUGUUGGCUUAGAAGCAGCCAUCAUUUAAAGAAAGCGUAAUAGCUCACUGGUCGAGUCGGCCUGCGCGGAAGAUGUAACGGGGCUAAACCAUGCACCGAAGCUGCGGCAGCGACACUAUGUGUUGUUGGGUAGGGGAGCGUUCUGUAAGCCUGCGAAGGUGACCUGUGAGGGUUGCUGGAGGUAUCAGAAGUGCGAAUGCUGACAUAAGUAACGAUAAAGCGGGUGAAAAGCCCGCUCGCCGGAAGACCAAGGGUUCCUGUCCAACGUUAAUCGGGGCAGGGUGAGUCGACCCCUAAGGCGAGGCCGAAAGGCGUAGUCGAUGGGAAACAGGUUAAUAUUCCUGUACUUGGUGUUACUGCGAAGGGGGGACGGAGAAGGCUAUGUUAGCCGGGCGACGGUUGUCCCGGUUUAAGCAUGUAGGCUGGUUAUCCAGGCAAAUCCGGAUAAUCAAGGCUGAGGUGUGAUGACGAGGCACUACGGUGCUGAAGUAACAAAUGCCCUGCUUCCAGGAAAAGCCUCUAAGCAUCAGGUAACAUCAAAUCGUACCCCAAACCGACACAGGUGGUCAGGUAGAGAAUACCAAGGCGCUUGAGAGAACUCGGGUGAAGGAACUAGGCAAAAUGGUGCCGUAACUUCGGGAGAAGGCACGCUGGUGUGUAGGUGAAGUCCCUGCGGAUGGAGCUGAGACCAGUCGAAGAUACCAGCUGGCUGCAACUGUUUAUUAAAAACACAGCACUGUGCAAACACGAAAGUGGACGUAUACGGUGUGACGCCUGCCCGGUGCCGGAAGGUUAAUUGAUGGGGUUAUCCGUAAGGAGAAGCUCUUGAUCGAAGCCCCGGUAAACGGCGGCCGUAACUAUAACGGUCCUAAGGUAGCGAAAUUCCUUGUCGGGUAAGUUCCGACCUGCACGAAUGGCGUAAUGAUGGCCAGGCUGUCUCCACCCGAGACUCAGUGAAAUUGAACUCGCUGUGAAGAUGCAGUGUACCCGCGGCAAGACGGAAAGACCCCGUGAACCUUUACUAUAGCUUGACACUGAACAUUGAGCCUUGAUGUGUAGGAUAGGUGGGAGGCUUUGAAGCGUGGACGCCAGUCUGCGUGGAGCCAACCUUGAAAUACCACCCUUUAAUGUUUGAUGUUCUAACGUUGGCCCCUGACCGGGGUUGCGGACAGUGUCUGGUGGGUAGUUUGACUGGGGCGGUCUCCUCCCAAAGCGUAACGGAGGAGCACGAAGGUUAGCUAAUCCUGGUCGGACAUCAGGAGGUUAGUGCAAUGGCAUAAGCUAGCUUGACUGCGAGCGUGACGGCGCGAGCAGGUGCGAAAGCAGGUCAUAGUGAUCCGGUGGUUCUGAAUGGAAGGGCCAUCGCUCAACGGAUAAAAGGUACUCCGGGGAUAACAGGCUGAUACCGCCCAAGAGUUCAUAUCGACGGCGGUGUUUGGCACCUCGAUGUCGGCUCAUCACAUCCUGGGGCUGAAGUAGGUCCCAAGGGUAUGGCUGUUCGCCAUUUAAAGUGGUACGCGAGCUGGGUUUAGAACGUCGUGAGACAGUUCGGUCCCUAUCUGCCGUGGGCGCUGGAGAAUUGAGGGGGGCUGCUCCUAGUACGAGAGGACCGGAGUGGACGCAUCACUGGUGUUCGGGUUGUCAUGCCAAUGGCACUGCCCGGUAGCUAAAUGCGGAAGAGAUAAGUGCUGAAAGCAUCUAAGCACGAAACUUGCCCCGAGAUGAGUUCUCCCUGAGACUUUAAGUCUCCUGAAGGAACGUUAAAGACGAUGACGUUGAUAGGCCGGGUGUGUAAGCGCAGCGAUGCGUUGAGCUAACCGGUACUAAUGAACCGUGAGGCUUAACCUUACAACGCCGAAG
RNAcentral lists this ribosomal RNA (2922 nucleotides) under Klebsiella pneumoniae. RNAcentral describes it as "23S ribosomal RNA". It matches the Rfam family "Bacterial large subunit ribosomal RNA". The record is from RNAcentral. Lineage: Bacteria; Pseudomonadati; Pseudomonadota; Gammaproteobacteria; Enterobacterales; Enterobacteriaceae.